AUAUAACACGUGAUGCAAUUAUUCGUAUAUGAUUGCUCGAAAUCCGUGAAGUAACUAUAUAAGUUUGAACUACUAACCUCAAUUUUUCCCAAGUCGGUGAAUAUAUUACAAUAUUGACUAGUCCAAGUCACAAUGUUCUUGACUUAAAAAAAAACAUAUCACACGAAGUUAAGAUUUUGCAAUAUAUUUGCAAACUCGGUAGAAUAUACUAUAUAGAGCAAUACCUAUAUAAAUAUAAUGGACUACUCUUAACUUCUUCUUGUAUAGCAUAUAGAAUUAGGUCAUAUAAUAUCGAC
This 296-nucleotide long non-coding RNA is filed under the name Capsella rubella. Its description in RNAcentral is "long non-coding RNA (CRUB_LNC001993)". The record is from RNAcentral. Lineage: Eukaryota; Viridiplantae; Streptophyta; Magnoliopsida; Brassicales; Brassicaceae.